UAAAUUGACAGUCCGGCAGGCCACCGCCACACUAUGGCACAGUAAGGAGAAGCCGGUGCAAGUCCGGCACGGUCGCGCCACUGUAAUCCGCGUUCUGAACGUGGGAAGUCAGACCUCCAGCCACCUGUUUUCCUC
This 135-nucleotide non-coding RNA is filed under the name Acetobacter orleanensis. Lineage: Bacteria; Pseudomonadati; Pseudomonadota; Alphaproteobacteria; Acetobacterales; Acetobacteraceae. The record is from RNAcentral.